This is a long non-coding RNA of Labeo rohita (rohu), 1317 nucleotides long. RefSeq lists it as uncharacterized. NCBI's taxonomy places the organism in Eukaryota, Metazoa, Chordata, Actinopteri, Cypriniformes, Cyprinidae. The transcript has 3 exons. The record is from RefSeq and is a predicted model, not a curated record.
GUGUCAUAACACAGUGAGAGUGAAAUUACUGCGGUGUCAUAUUCACACGCUUGUCUGCAGGGUCUCAUCAAAGUUCAUUUUAGAUUCUGUCUGGAAAAUUUAAAAUGAGUUUCCAGGUCUGUUUUUUAGACAGACGAACAGGGACUUAAAUAAAAGUGUCUGUGGCGAACUCUGAGGAGGAAUUCAGAAACACCACAGUUGAAGAGUUAAAAAGAAAACUCUUGUCUGAAGACAGCAGAUAUAAACACUGUGGACUUUACUGCAAUCACAAGCUUCUGUUUCAUGAUUGUACACUUGGCUCUCAUGGCAUUAAACAUAAUGAUGUUAUUGUGAUUGAACCACCGAUGCGUCUACAAUCUCUCUCAUCUGAAGAUGAAUGUGAAGGUGAAUUCAUAUCCAGGACUAAAUCUAUGGAGAAAUUAACUCUGAACAUGUAAAUGCAUUUGAUGCACACUGUUGAUCAGAUAAAGUGUAAUACCCAUAUAAUUUUCUUGAUUUACUGUCAACUCAAUAUAAAACACAGACGUAUAUAAUGGAGUUUGUGUUUUCAUGUGUCUCUGUACAUUCACAUGCAAAUAUUGUACAUUACUAUUUCUUUUGUUUAUGUUUAUUAUAUCAAACAUGCCCUUGACUAUUUUUAUUUUGUGAAAAGUCUGAUUUCAGUAAUCAGCUCUGAAGCUCAAAAAUAGAAACAAUACAGGAAUAAAACAUGGAACAAUAAUUUGUAAAGCCAAUAUUGUAUAAAUUGUAUUAUGUAUAAGAUUAUUUAUUUAAACUAUAAGUUAUUUCUUCAAAACAAGGCAACAAAUUAAUAUUCAGCACACAUCUGCCACAGUAUUUUCUAACCUUUUAGUUAAAGAUCCAGUGGUAUUUUAUAUUACAUUAUUUCUUAACAUUUCAUUGUAAUUGUAUGUGAAAUGAAGCAAUUUCUGAACUAGAAACAGUAGGUCACAAUGAACAACUCACCCGUACCAAAAGAAUCAUGUACUAUAGCUAAACUGUCAGGGUCAGGGACUAUUCUGUUUUUCUGUUUUCUAUUCUUAGUUUUCCCUUUUGUUCUCCUAUGCCCAUAUUUGGUUUUCCUGUUCCUGUUCCCAUUGUGUCCUCAUUAGUUUCAGGUGUGUUAGGUAUUUAGUCUCGUUUGGUUCCCUUUAUAAGUUGUAUGCCCUCAGUCUCUUGUUGUCUGAUCGCCGUUAUGUUAAGGUGUGUUUUUACUGUCUCCUGGUUUCUACGGUUUGUUUUUGUUGUAUGGUGCCCCGAUUUUGAACUUCCAAAAUGUAGUUUAAAUGCGGCUUCAAACAAUCACAAAUGCGGUUG